GAUCCUGGCUCAGGAUGAACGCUGGCGGCGUGCCUAACACAUGCAAGUCGAACGAAGCACCUUACUUGAUUCUUCGGAUGAAGGUCUGGUGACUGAGUGGCGGACGGGUGAGUAACGCGUGGGUAACCUGCCCUGUACAGGGGGAUAACAGCUGGAAACGGCUGCUAAUACCGCAUAAGCGCACGAAGAGACAUCUCCUAGUGUGAAAAACUCCGGUGGUACAGGAUGGGCCCGCGU
RNAcentral lists this ribosomal RNA (237 nucleotides) under uncultured bacterium. RNAcentral describes it as "partial 16S ribosomal RNA". It matches the Rfam family "Bacterial small subunit ribosomal RNA", at positions 15 to 236 of the family's 1533-position model. The record is from RNAcentral.